CCCCGCUGUAGUCUGUAGUGGACUGGCCUGAGGUCUUGCUACAAACGUCUGCUGGAAGAGAGUAGGUGAGUUGUGUUUAGUCUCUUUGCUAAAGAAAUGAGUCAAAGUUAAAAAGAUGUUUGGUGGCUAGCUAGUAGUUUUACAGCGGAAUAUCCCUUUAAACACACUCAGAUCUACUGUGAACACUUGGUCUUGGUCUAGUGUAAGGUUACGUUCACACUGCAGGUUAUGAUGCACAAUUCGGAUUCUUUGUUAAAUCCGAUAUUUCUGUGCGGUCGUUCACAUUACAACAACGAAUGCGGCAUCUGAAGUGAACAGAAUGCGUCUGUGAAGUGACCUGCAUGUGCACAAAACACAAAUCGCUUUGUGUUGUCGAACAAUGGUAACGUUUGUCGCAUAUUGAUGACAUAAAGGUCGGAUAAACGCGACCUGAGCGUCCACACUGCAGUCACAUCGGAUACAUAUCUGAUUUAUAUCCACAUAGAAAAGAGGCCUGGGUCGGAUUAGAACCAAUCAGAAUUGACCUGUUCACACUUAGAUGAAAAAAUCAGAUAUGAGUCACAGAUGGUUAAAAAAUCUGAAUUGACCUUCAGUGUGAACACAGACUUAGUCACAAAUGCAGAGAUGGACUUCACUUGUUCUGCAGCUGCUGACACUAGAGUCCAGGUUUGAGUUUAGUCCAUGAGGGCAUGAACAGAUCUGAAAGUCUGAGAGGUUAAAUUUAUGUCCCUGACUUUCAUAAACUGAGUCCUCUUUGAAAUUUAAUGUUUUCUUUCUGGAGGUUUCUUGUUAAAAUAUAACGUCCCCCAGUGUGCCGUGUUCUUCCUUACGGCUUUAUCCUUAAACUACAUCAGAGCUGAACAAAGAGAACAAAAACAGACACCGAUCAGGCUGAAUCCAUCAAAUAUUAACCCAGAAUCCAAACCUGAAAGUAAUCACAGAGUUUGAUCCGAACGCAAAGCUUUGGAAAUCCUUAAACAACCAGAGACAAACACAUUCAUGUGAAGAAGAAACGUAUCAGAAUCACGACUCGGCUUCAGACACAGUUCCAUGUUUUUAGUCCUCUAACAGCAGCAGUGAUGAAGCUCCUGGUCCACAAACCUGCUGAGGUUACAGACACUUCAGCUGGAGUGUUGAAUGAAGUAGAGAUGAAACACCUUUAAACCUCCACUUUCUGCACUAUACACUCUAUAUAGACUGGACCUGGUGCAUUAUGGGAAGGGUCGAGUGGGUGAUUCAGGGCCAGCAGCACUCCUCCUGUCAUUGGUGCUGAGCUGGCACUUCUGUACAAGGAAACUCAUUUACACAACAUUGUACAGGUGAAGGUCCUCGGAGAGCAAACAGAUGUGUCCAUGCUGGGAUCAGUUUUACCGGAAUUCUAUAUUUUGGUCUAAACGUUUGUGAUGAAUGAAAGUGCAGAAAAAAAAAGAUAAUCAUCAUUUGAAAACGUACUUAAGUUUAAUUCUUUUGAUGCCGUUUUGGUGCAUAUUUUAUCCGCUCCUCUGGACGUCCAUUUUCUGGAUAAUGUUUUAAAUUGAAACAUGCUGUUAAAAAUGAGACGUCGCUUAAAAAAAAAGGCAUUUCAGGUGGUUUUUGUAUCACACUGGCUUUGAUUCAGGGCUUGUUUCAGGCGAGAGCUUUGACAAUGUCUGUGCUUCUGUAGUUAAAAAAAUAGAAUUUACUUUGGCUUGUGAUCGAACCCCUAAAACCCUCCAGGAUGUGUCAGUACCUGUCGCACUGACCGUGCAAAAGUGAGGCACACAAUCUAAAAUUAAAGAGCACUAAACUACCACACACUGCAGACACCCUGUUACGUUAUUUAGGCUGUUUUAUUUCCUGAAAUAUGCUUUUAUUUUGAAGUUUACCUCUCCUACUAGAUUGUAAAUUACAGAACUGAAUGGAAGCAGUAAAGAAACAGAAAAAGAAAACCUUUGAAUGUCGUAUUUUUAAGAGUCUGAUCAUCAGACAGCAGCUACAGCUAGCUCACUUGCAGCUGCUGCUCCUUCUUCGAUCCCUUUUAGAUUAUAGUGCUUGUUUCAGGUGAGAUCUUUGACAAUGACUACUAGACUACUAAAACUAGAAUUUACUUUGGCUUGUAAUCAAACCCCUAAAACUCUCUCAAAUGUGUCAGCACCUGUGGCACUGGCCGUGUAUUUUGUAGAGUUGGUGGUCCCAACUUUUAUAAGUGAGACACACCAGCUAAAAUUUCAAUACGGCAGACACUAUGUUACUUGAUUUAGACUGUUUUAUUUCCUGAAAUAUGCUUUUAUUUUGAAGUUUACCUCUCCUAUUAGAUUGUAAAUUACAGACAUAAAUGAAACCCUUUGAAUGUCGUAUAUUUAGAAGAGCCUGAUCAUCAGACAGCAGCUACAGCCAGCUCCCUUGCAGCAGCCCUCCUCACAAACAUUUCCAGACCCUGAUGUAGAAACCAAAUUACUGAAGUAUUGGCCUCCCAAUCAACAGCACUUUAUUCCCCUUUAAAGUCCGACCCAGUUUGGCUGAUCCACUAAGUUUUCAUCUAUUUUCACAAGAAUGGAUUCAUACACAGACAGAAUGACGCAGAUGUCACCAAUGCAGCAUAAUGUCUUGCAUAUGGCGUACCAGUGUGGCGACGCAACGUAAAGAGGGAUGGGAGAUAGAGAAGAGGGGAGGUCAGUAUUCAGUCUGUUUCUCAGGCCUAAUUAGUCGCCUCACGGAGCACUCAAAGACGAAGAGAUGGAGGAAGCAAUGGACGGAGAGAAACGCAACAACUGAGGCAGAAUCCCGGAGCAAAUUUACUACUGAGCCUCUCACAAUGACACAGCUAAUAAAACAACCUUAACGGCUGCUCUCCUCCCUCUACAUUUAGAGCCCUGUGAUUGUAGCAGUUUGGGGCCAAAGUAGAAGGCAGUUUAGGGAAAGACGUGCAAAGCUGACACAAAAAGCAGCCAAGAGAAGAAGAAGGAAAAAAAGGCGUUUGAAUCUCAUUUUUAGUCAGCGUGGCGUUAAAUCCAACGCUGUAAAACCUUUUCCCAGGUUCAGCGCUGAAGAGGAGGGAAAUACCGGAGGGGGAAUAAAUGAGGUCUGCUUGGUCAUGUAUGGUGUAAUGUGAAAGGAGCUAAAUCAGCAGCAUUACUCCCAGGUGGCAGAUGAAGGUAGUCCUGGUAUGAGCCUACAUACAGCCUAAUGCACGAGAGCUCCUAAUGCGACAGCCUACACAUGUGAAUUUCAAGUAUGUGAAGCUCAUGGCCAUCACGGAGCGGCUUCAAUCGACUAAAUUACAACCUGAAUCACUUUGUUGAAGGCUGCUGAUGAUGAUUAUAAAAGCUCUCCGUUUGAUUUCAAAGAGAAUCCGAGAAUAAAAGCUUUAAGGGGGCGAGUAUGAAAGCUGAUUAAUUAAAAAGAGUGCAAAAGUACAGAGUGUCAUCAGGAUGGCAUCAAAGUGCCAUCGAACAUCACGGCUGAUACCCUUAGAAGAUUGUUUCAGCACUUUAUUACAGCAUUAUCCUGCCACUCUGACUCCAAAUGAGAACUAACGAGGGAGACAGCUGCGAGAAACUCAACUAUUACUUUCAGCUCUCCGCUCCAAUCAUCAAUCAUCACAAAAAGUUUGUGCGAAAUCUUAAGUGUACGUGAAGAUCUGCACGGACUUGAGUGCCCCAGUUAUACGCCCGCUAUAAGUUAGAGUUUGCACGCACUCAGAGAUGCACUUGGUUAUUCAUUCCCCUGAGUGUGUGAUGAUUACUUCUGUGCCUGUUCCCUUCAUCACAAUAAUGUGCAGCAGAUGCAGAGAGGCGAUCAGUGUUGGUGACUGCUCAGGUGGAUGCAGAGGUUCAGUUCUCUUUGAAUAUGAGGCCUGUACUGAAUUACAGUAUGUCUGUUUUCUUCAAUUUGUUUGAGGGACAGUGUUUAACAUCCUGUGAUCGUUUCAGAGAUGGGUUUGUCCUUUUUCUACUUUGUUUUUUUCAUCAGCUAUAAUCUAAAUAGUCAGUGCUUUGUUGCAUUCAUAACCCACCCAGAGUAAUAUUGAAUUUAUCCUCCUGGUUGUUUGAUUGGAGUUUGAGGUUAACUCUGUUGUUGAGAGUUGAUGAUGUGAGUUGAGAGGUUUUAACCAAUCAGAAUCAAGCACUGAACACAGGUGAGAAUUAAAGGGAUAUUCAGAGGUGAAAUUGUAACACCAAGUUAAAAACCACCUUCUAGAGAUAAUAAUAAUAAUAAUAAUAAUAAUAUCUUACAUUUAUAUAGCGCCUUUCAGGAUACCCAAGGCGCUUAACAACACACUACAAAAAAAAAAAAAAAACUAAAUACCAAAAGCCUGAAUAAACAAGUGUCGCUUCAGAGCAGACUUGAAAGAGUCAAGAGUCUGUGCUUGGCGAAUCUCAGAGGGGAGAGAGUUCCAGAGAGGAGGGGCGGCCACACUGAAGGCUCUGUCACCGAGGGAUCGCCUUUUCCCAUAGCGGACAGUGAGGAGCCCAAGGUCCGCAGACCGCAGAGUACGCGCCGGGAUGUAGUCCUUGAGGAGGUCAGACAGAUAGUAUGGGGCUAGGGCAUGGAGAGCUUUGUAGGUGAGCAGGAGGAGUUUGUAGAUGAUGAAUGAGAUGAAUGUUGUCGACCGCUUGCUUCUCUAGUUAUACCAACUUUAGUAACGACCGCAGGAUAGCAAUACAGAGAGCCACGCCCUCGACCAAAACGCCACUCUAUAGCCACAAAUAAUGCUCAGAACAGCACCUAACUUCAUCAACAGGACAUAUAGGGUUUAUAGGGUUGCUACAGUGGGGUGACACAGCUCAAGGAAGAACAUUUAUGAUCAUUUCUUCAUGGAAAUACAAUCAGACCAAGACGCUAAGACAGAAGAACUACGGCAUCUGCAUUGAAAAAUGAUUAAUAUGGUGAUUAUUACAUCAAGGAAAUGUUAAAGAAAUGAUCAUAAAUGUUCUUCCUUGAGCUGCGUCACCCCAAUAUAUUUAUAUGUAAUACCAAUAAUCUAUAAUAUUUUAAACAUUACAUUUUACUGCUAUAUACUGGUUGAUGUACACAUGGUGAAAUUCGAAUAAAAUUUGCAAAAAGUAAAGUUAAAAAAAGCCCUCCUUCGGAUCAUUUCAGACAGUUUACCAUGAGGGUUAGAGGAGCAGGAGGCUGGUUAACUUUGUUGUUUUUGUAAUUAUUUUUAUCACUAUCUGUUGUUUUUACUUUUACCCUUUACUGUGUGCACUUUGAGAUCUGUUUUCUCAGAUGUAAAGCGCAUUAUAAAUAAAAUGUAUUAUCAUUAUUAUUAUUAGCUCACAAAAGAGCCUGAAAAAGAGACACAAAGUUUGAUUUAAAAUCCUAUCAUCAACCCUGGAUCACUAAAGCAGGUUCAUUUACUACAGAUUUCAAUCCAUGUGGAGGUCAAAGGUCAGUAAAGUGCACAACAGCGACUCUGGAUUAAGCUUCAUUGUUGUGCUGAUGGUUCUGUUUGAAAAGGUGCUGCCUUUGCUAACUCUGCAGAGUCGAGACCUAUUCCACCAGCACGUCCGCUGAAUUAGUCAUAAAGAGAGGGAGACUGUGCUGAGAAAUUCCCAGAUGCGGUACAGUCGGAUUGCUAAUGGAUUUGGCUGUCACGUGUUUCCCCGGUCUCACCGACGGUACAGUACGGUCGAUUGUUACAUAAGGACUUAGCUUCAGGCGGCAGAGGGAUAAAUGUACUUAGCUUCACAGAUAUUCAGGAGAUGGUUCCCCUGCUGCGUGUACAUAUUCUCCUGUUGUAAAGUCUGGCUCUGAACAUUAAACAGAAGAUAUGCAAAUGGCGAAGCUGCCAGUCGUCAUCUGCUGAUACCCGUUUCCUCUGUGCGUCUGUCAUGAGCCGCGGGGGGAAUCAUUUCAGUUGAUUACUCGACUGUGUCAGAUGUCGUCAUUAAGCCAAAUCAAGAGACACAGACGAGGGAAACCAAUGGGGAGCAGCGUCGGGAAGAAAAAGGAGGGAGCGUUUCUAAACUGCAGCAGAGCGAUGCAGAAAUAUAGAACAAGGAGCGUGUGUGCAUGUAUGUGUGCGUGCAUGUGUGUGUGUGUGUGUGUGUGAUCAAGAGAGAAAGAGAGAAAAAAAAGCAAUUCUGAAAAGUUCAUUGAGACAGGUUUUUAUGACGAGCUGCGCCGGUCUUGAUGGCGGGGGAUCAAAAGGAGCUAUGUGUCACGGGGCAGACAGCGCCUUUUCAAGGCCUGUCAGGCUGGCAGCAUUUAAAGUCACAGUUAUUUAGUUUGCUUGGACAGACACGGCACUAAAAGAGACCGAGGAGACGGCACAACUGGCAUGUGGAUUGAACGGCACUGAAGUACAGCGGGCAGCCGAGAUUUAUGCUGCCAUUUUUGGGCUGUCAGGGGCUCAGAGGAGCGAAGUGUCACUCACUCUCAGAGUCUUUUUGAGGAUUUUCUGCACUUGUCUGUCACCGAUUUAAGAUUAAUGUGAUCAGCUCACACAACAGCCACUGGACGCCAAGAGACCCAGAGCUGUCUGCCUCGGUCUUCAUCAUGUCUGCCCUCGAUAAUUAUAAAAUAUAGACGAGAGAGAGACUCCUGACAAAAAAACAGCUCUGGGAAAUACCUCCUGGAUUUUAAAGGUCUAAUCAUCUCAAAACUGGUCACUACAUCAUCAUAUAUGAAUGAGCACAGUAUGCAGUGGUUGACCGAUAAUGAUAAUGUGAGAGCAGGUUAGCCCAGGGCUCAUAUAUAAUAAUCCUGAUACAAUAUUGAUUUGGUAAAACAAUAACACAGGAGCUGUUUUCCAAUCGGCCUACUUCAUACUCCUGCCGACCGCAGUAUACAGUAGAUACUUGCUCGUCCUUGUGUCGUCAGUAUCAGAGGGAAAAUAAGUGUAGUUCACACUCCAACACAGUAGGUGGCAGUAAUGCACCUGAAACCUGAGUGACAUCCCCAGAAUAUGGCAAAGAAGAAUGUUGGCGCCGUGCAAAAUGACACAUCCACUCCGAUUUGAGUUUUUGCAGCUGAUUGAGGUCGACGCAAACAUUUCUGAACAUUUUCCAAACUCAUCCGUCUUCUGUGUUUUUAUUUAUUUUCUUUACAACUUGGCGCUCUCUUCACUCGUGCUCCAGGCAGCGCUCUCUCUCUGUCCCGCUCCGUAUGUCACAGAUUCGUACGUACCGCUGCUGUUUGGAAAAUUACAUUUUCUUAAAAGCUCUGGGUUGCUGCUGUUUCCUGAUAGUUGAGCCCAUAUGAUGGAGUCUGCUGGUAUGUGGUCUGUGCGGCGCAGCGGGGGGGAGACUGUUAGCGGGGGAAAUGAAGGAAAGAGCCGGGCGGUCACACAAUGACGACCAUCUCCAUCAACUUGAACUGCGCCGCACAGCUGAGAGUGUGGCGGCGUGGAACCGAGAGCGACAGCCACCCUACGGAGAUGAUGGCGUUCCCCUCGUGUUUAUGUUGUGUUUGGAGUCUAAAAGUGUUUGUGAGUCAUCUUCACGACAAAAAGAGCCUCGCCUACAGAUCAGAGUGACGAGCUUUAAGGAUCGGCUUUGACGGAGUGUCAGAAAGACUGUUGGUUAAAAAUGAAUUAAUACACUGGUGCAGGAUUAGUCUGAGCCAUUCGCAUGUUGGUGGGAAUGAAUCACAUGAUCUCUGGUGACCCAAAUCUGCAAAAGAACUUUCUGUGAUCAUUUUUAUGAACUUAACAAAAAUAUUAGAACUAAACUUUUCUCAUUUUUAAAAUAUUAUCAGUGAAGAUAUUUGGAUAUUUGUCAGUACAUAAAUAUCUCAUCCCCCCGUUCAAUGAAAGCUAUAAAUUGCAGUUCCCUGAGUGUCCACUUGAGGCUGUCAGCAGAAGCACCGUGAACCACAUACACACUCAGUCAACAGAUCAGUCGUGGUGAAGAAAGAGCUGAGCCGUAAGGCCAGACUCUUGAUUUACCGGUUGAUCUACGUGCCGAUCCUCAGCUAUGAUCAUGAACUUUGGGUAAUGACCGAAAGAACGAGAUCACAGAUACAAGCGGCUGAAAUGGGUUUCCUCCUAAGGUUGUCCGGGCUCAGCCUUAGAGAUAGGGUAAGGAGCUCGGACACUCGGGAGGAGUCAGCUGAGGUGGCUCGGGCAUCUGGUUAGGACGCCUUCUGGACGCCUCCCGUUAGAGGUGUUCCAGACAUGUCCCACCGGGAGGAGACCUUGUGGACGGCCCAGGACCAGAUGGAGGGAUUAUAUUUCUCACCUGACCUGGGAGCGCCUGGAAAUCCCCGGGGAAGAGGAGCUGGUGGAAGUGGCCGGGGUGAGGGCUGUCUGGGCUUCCCUCCUGAAGCCCAGACAGACACACGAAUGAACGAACAAAUACUCAGCCAAAAAAGCCCAUCCUUAGAACAAAAUAAACACUUUUCAUCAGAAGUCUUAGAUGUGUGCGAGGAGAUCCUUGACUUAAAGUUUCCAAUAUGGCGACCAACACUGAUGGGCUUCAAAACUCCACAAACGAACAAACAAACGGGUGAAAUCACAGCCGCUAUUUUACAGUCUCUGACCCUCCUCUUCAUUGUCAAAGUUUGAACAUUUCCAUGACUUCAUUCUGAGUCAUCAGUGCUCCCGUCCAAGUCAAGAGUCCUAAUAUUAGGACUUGAGUACAACUCUAUCAUUAAAUAUGAUUUUGCAAAUAGUAUACCAACACAUUUUCCACUCGAGGACGCCAUCUUUAUCUCAGAGUUUUGGAGGACUUCAGGUUUUAAGACGUUUGCACUGCUGACGUCGAUUCAUCGGCUGAACUUCUUAAAGAUAAAACAAGGUUGAAGCGUUGGUGACACCAACAUAUGGCCUGUGCAGUUUCCAUCUUUAACCCUCUUAGAGAUAAAAAACAAUCUUUAUUUUUAACACCGGCUCCCUGACAGGAUCGUCCCUGAGUUUACAUAGUCAGAGUCUCUAAAGUUGUACGGCGCUGUGAGUGAUGGUCACACCUCCAUCUGACGGUGUUAUUGUGUGAUAAACAUCACACAGCGGGGCAUCAAAAGGCCCGGUGAUCUGAAGCAGGAAGUGAGAGGAGAGCGGCCUCGCCGCCGCCACAUCGAUGGAGUAAAUGGAGAAUGAAAUGAUGUCUGUCCGAGGUCAUUGCACAGCGGCAGAGCGAGCACAGAUAAAAGAAGCAAUUCAGGAAGCGGCCGUGUACAAGGCUGGACCGCUCGGAUUCAUGUUUACACUGCUGCAAACAACUCAUUUAAUGAAUCAGUGAAUAAAAUCUGCAAACGUUGGAAACAACGUCUCAGUUCUGAAGAUCUCAACGCCGUUAUAAACAGCAAAGGAUGUUUUUAAAGUGGAAUACAAAGACUGAAACGGACCGAUUCAGUAAAUUCACUCUUUAAGAGUCUAUUAAAUACAGAUAUAAUCAGUUCUCACAGAAUAUGAGGGGGGGAAUCAAUUAAUUAUAUUCAUCUAAAAAUAUAAAAAAACAAAUUGUACUUUUCCAAAAAAUACAUGUCUAGAAAUAUCAAUAACAAAUAAAUAAAUAUCAAUAAUCUAUCAGGGGUAGCAUUCAUACGUAACUUCUUUUUCUUAUCCUAUUAUUACCGUAUUUUUCGCACUAUAAGGCGCACUUAAAAUCCUUUUGGCUUGUCGGAGCACUGCAGCUACCGUAGCCUCGGGAGUUAUUGACUGUUUUGUUUGGCGUAAUGCGCUUUGUAAUCCGGUGCGCCUUAUGUAUGAAAAAAGGCGAAAAUAGACACGUUCACUGAUGGUGCGCCUUAUAGUGCGCAAAAAUAAGGUAAGUUAAAUUUUCGUUCCCAAGGUCCGAGCUGCAGCUUAUCUUGCUCAUGUGCAAAUAAAAAACUGCAGUUCCUCAGGUGUCCAGUUGAGGCAGUGUUUAAAAGCGAGUUCAGUCCGUUCUCCACCAGAGGGCAGCAUGUUUACGACAAAACAAACCCUCAUUCUUACAUCUUGAAUUGGGAAUGAUUUUUGUACAACUUAGACGUAGACGGAGCGUUUGUGGUCCCGUUGUUGUCUGAUGAUAACCAAAGAAAUCAAAUUUCCCUAAAAUGACUUUAGUUCCUCUAAAGUGAAACAUCUCUGGUGGGGUGGAGAACGCUCCUCUUAUCGCAGAGAAUAAAAAAGUCAUAGACAGGAGCCUUGGGGAGUAACAGCGGUGAAGAUUCCUACAUUAAAAUGUUCUUGUCAGAUUCAGUACACUCCCUGUGAACUUGAAUCAGCGUUCUCCACAAAGACUCUCGCAGCACUCAUGUCCCCGGCGUGCCACCCAUGCUCUGCAGAAGAAGAAGAAAAAAACUGCAGCAGUAAAAAAGUAAAAAAGCGCUCCUCUCUGAUCUUCCUGGAGCCGCUGCGUCUUGUUAUUGUAUUAAUUUAGCUGCCAGAUAUUCUCUGUGUUUGUAAUAUUCCCCCGUCACUCGUCUCAGUCAAUUCUGCCUCUGCUUUCUGUAAUUUUCAUGUUGGUCCCCAUCACUCGCCUUAAACAUAAAUUAGUCCUGCGCCUGGUAAAUACUGCUCUCCACCCCAGUCAGAGACAAAGAGAGUAUCUACAGGAGGAAUAUACGAGCAUCGAUCGGCCCUCGUGGCCACGUCUGGUCUCCACAAUAGCACGCUAUUGAUGUGCUGGAAUUGCUUUUGAAGGCAGACAGAUUGAUAUAAUGGUGUGUGUGGAUCCUCCAGGGCUGGGCUGCCAGAGCUCCAGUCUGAUUCAACGACCUUGGGUCAAUCCAUCCAUUUGCAUCGGCCCUCUUUGGUGUUUGUGCUGCAGACAUGGAGGUUCCUCCGAGGGGACUGCGGUCCUUCUCUGAACCAGCACCGGAACAGCAAAUGGACCCUUUUACUCUCGCUGUUGAUUCUUACUGCAAACAGGUUAAUGUUAUUGAUUUUGUGUCCGCUGUGACCUGUAAAAGGGGAUGUGAUGGCGUGCUGGCAGUUUCUGUUUCCUCCCGCCUGACCUUCAGAUCUGAGUUUGUGUUUUGACCUCUCUCACUGUAAACUUAGAGCUCGUGUGAAGACUUUAUGUUUGUGUUGAGUUUGGUGCCCCCUGUGGACAAAGUUUGCUGAAUCUUGUGUAUGUGUAAGUCUGUUUUUAAUGAUUUUAUUCAUGAUAUUGACAGAGAUAGUAGGAUGAGUUAGUAGUGGGAACCAACUAAAGAAAGUCUAACACUCACUUUAGCGUGGUUAUUCGUCUCUACCUCCUGCUAUCCUUUCAUACUGGUCACUUGUUGGACUUCACUUCCUCUUUUGACAAAGUAGACCCCUCUAUCCUCUUAAACCAUCUCAAACAUCAUGUUGGUACCCAUGGUUGUUCUCUCUCCCAUCUUUCUUAACCCCCAAUUUCUACCGCAUCUGGAAUGGCGGCGGAAAGGCUGUAUGCGCCAAUCGCAGCUAAUCGUUUCCAUUUAAGUUAAUGUGUCAAUUUCCAACGGCUUCUUUCCGGACUCUGCAGCCGAUCACCUGAGUUCUUCUUCUUCCGGACGCCACAGCAUGUUGCAUAAAUCAAGCACAGAUUAGCUUGUGCUGGAAAGGACACAAAAUAAAACACUCCAUGUUUCAGGAUCGUAUUUCACACCAUGCAAACGGGCGGAGACGAACAAGUGAAAGGUUUUUAGACGUCAUUUCACCCCGAUGACACCAUGGAUGAGGAGAUGCUGAGUCUAGAAGUAGAUUUCCUCCUCUUGAAGGACACAAUCUACUGCUUAUAUGUCUAUGUGUCUGUCUCUAUAGAGACAACUUGUUAACGCAUGAUUGCACCUGAAUCCGUGGGUUGUUGUGAGGUCUUGCGAUUCCCGCUAUCCAAAAUCUGCCACAAAAUUCGCCUCACAAACACAUCUGGUAGGAAUAGGCGGAUGGCGAAAAUCGCUACCAUUCAGGAUGCGUUGGAAAUUGUUGGUGACAGACAGAUCCUUUUCCAUCCAAUCCUGUUUCUGUGCAUCUGCUUCCACCACCCAAGGAGUCCCUUAAGGCUCAAUAUUAGGACCUGAACUCUUCACCCUGUACUUGACCCUCAGAGAGAAUCAGGAAUUACUGGACAUCAUGCAGCCAAUAAGAUUCAGACGUUCACUCUUAGCCUUGUGCAUAUUUGCAGAACAGAGGUAAUAACUGAAAAGGAGUCACAGUUUGUUCCCCUGUCGGUAAAUAAAUAUGCUCCUUUAAUUCUGGAAUCCCUGACAUUGAGCUAAAUCCUUUUCGAAAGGCGCUCACCUGCGUGGAUCCAGAGGUAAAAGUCGUGCCUUAUCAUCACCUGUUUUCGUGCACUUUAGAUAAAUUCUGCGGGGAUGUGUAACGUCGACUAUAUUGAACCUGAAAGAUGAAAACUGUCAAAGUAGCAAAGGCUUCGGGCUGACAAAAGGGACACAGUCUCGCUGCUGAUGUCAACUGCAUUUGUUUGUUUCUCUGAGUGAUUGCCGGUGUGUUUGUUGCUCUCAGCAACUUUUUCUGUUUGUUGUUGCACUUUUCUUUUCGCUGAGUUUUCAGCCGAGAUGUGUCUCUAAAAAAGAAAUCACACCAAGGCGAGAAGUAAUAUCUGGAGCAGCAAACAUCGUGGUAGGUGGUCCAUGUUUUCCUCCAAAAUGAAAGCUCUGACCUUAUAUGUGGUCCUUGGUGGAGCAGAGCUCAUGAGAUUGUUUUCAGCUGCAGGGCUUCACUUUGUCUCUGUGUUUCUCUCGGCUUUUAUUUUACUUUAUUUACCCCUCUUUUGAUCCCUCCACGUCCACCUCUCUCUGUCUGCACAGGACGCCGCCGCCGCCGCCGCCGCCGCCGCCGCCGCCGCUGCCGCCUCUGCACCUGGCGAAAAGCGGCCUUAAUCCAAUACUGGAGCUUCUUUCUUCCUCCGGGCUCUUCUUCACUCCUCUGAUCCUUACUCUUGUUUUGUAUGUUUUACGUCUGAAGGGAAAGUUCACUUUUCUCUCCUUGUGAAGAUGUUUUAAUUUAAACACACCUCCCGUCUCUUUUCUGUCAAACUGCAUUUUUUCCUCUGAGUGUCUUUGUAUGAGGAAAUACCUGAGCAAUAUUCACCAGCUGAUCAUAACAUCAAGAGCAGGAAAGAUGUCUACCUGCAGAGUUUCCCCUGCUUCUGCAUGUGAAUGAUUGCUUUUAUUCUGGGGUGGGAAAAUAUAAAUCUGAAUUCUUCGACAGGAGGCAACAAAAGACAGAUAUAAAUAACAUCUGCUCCAGGAGGGAUCCCUGUGUUUGGAUGCCAAGACGUGUCUGCGUCAGGCUGCUGACUUUAAAUUCAGAGCAGCUCUCCUCAGAAACAAAGACAUGUGUUUGCGUCGGUAAUUUGCAGGUGCAAAGCGUUUGAUUUAACAUACAUUUAUUUCCAAAGAUGGGUUUAAACUUCCUGCUAGAAAAAUAUGAUUCUACCGUUAGAGUUUCCGCCUGUGUGCUGCCUCAGCGGAGGUUUUUAAAGACAGAUAUAAGCUCUUAGUGCGAACAAAUGUAUGUGGAAUAAAAGCCUCGGUGACACUAAAGGCGGGUUUGCAUGACUGCUGUCUCUGUUCUGAUUGAAAAGUCUGUGUUUACAUCUGUGUCGACCCGGUGUAUAAGCGCUCUGCUGAGAGGACUGAAGAUCAGAAGGUCAGAGGAUGGAUGGUGGGAACAGAGGAGAGAAAGGUGAUGCAUAAAUACCAGGAAAAAAACGGCAAAAAAGGAGCCUCUCGAUAAGUAGAAACAAACCGACAGCUCUAGGAGGGACGACCAGAGCUUUAGGAGAUGAUGACCCAACAGGUGUGGAGGGGAGUCCACACCCUAUAUCACAGCCAAUGAGAAGCUAAAGAUUUGAUAGACGUUAACAUGACACUCGAGAAACCGAAUUAUCGCCUUAUUCCGAUUAAGACCAGACAACUGAAGGUCAUGUAAACACUUUUGUCAGACUCUAAUCAGAGUUUGAGAACUCUGAUUAAGACACCCAGAUAAUGUGAUUGGAAUUCGAUUUUCUCAGCACUUUCUUAUUUAUUUUGCGAUUAAACAUUUUUACACCAACUGAACCGGUUUUAUGUUAUGUCCUUUUCCUUCCCGAGCUGGGUUGUAACAACGUGGACAAGGAAAGAAGUCUGAUUCAGAGAAAAAAACUUAUUCUGAGCUUAGUCCAAUUAAACUGUGCAUGUAAAGGCACUGACUGUGAAGUUGUGAAGUUAAGAUCUCUCAGACUGCAGAGGUUUACUUUCAGGUGUUUCCUGAUCCAUCCCAGAGACCUUCAAUAUCUAAUCUGUCAGACAGGAUCAUACAUAAUUGUCUUGCAUUCAAUAAACAGGCUCCCCGGUGUAUUUCCCAUCAUGCAAACACCACCUGUUUCCUGGCAGAGCAGAUUUAUGUCUGUGACUGAUCCUGCUAAGAGCACCGUCGAUGUUGGUAAACUCCUAAAUCUUGACCGGACUUUAAAAAUGUUUAAUUUUCAUGUCUUUAUUUCAUUCAUGAUGGUGUUUUACUUUUUAAAAACAUGAUUCAUCCUGAGAAAAGAGUUUCUGAUGAGUUCAGUUUCAUGGUUUUGAGCACAAAAAGGCUAAACGUCAUCUCACUUGAGCCGUUUUUGUGUCUUUUUUUUACUCGCGGAGAAAAGUAAACCAGAGGGUGUGUAAUUGCACCCUCACAUUUAGCCUUGUGAACACCCUGCUGUCAAAUCGCUGCCAUACUAUAAAGUUUUCUUUUUUUCUCUUCCGUCUAAGUGGCUGAGAGACAGUUGGCGUCAUCACCUACUGCAAUAACAACCAUAAUUUCACCAUCUGUCUCCCAAUCCAAUAUUGGCUCUACUUCAGCUUUCUUAUUAUAUGAUAUUAUUUUCUAACCAGAGGUUGCUCGGAUAAAGAGCGGAGGAUGGUGCAGCACGAGGCUGCCAUGGCAACACAGUGCCAGUGGUCAUCGGGUCUCCAGAUGUCUUUGAAAUGGUCGGUGUGCAUUCGCUUCAAACAGCACAUCACACAGCGAGCCCUCUGAAGUAUCCUGGUCUUACCUCAUCCUUUCAUCUGGGGCUAAAUAAGUCUUUCCUUUUUCCGAACGCAGGAGGAGGAGAAGAGGAGGAACAUAAUAAUCAGGGAGCGGACACUCAGGUCAUUACAGUUGCAAAAGAAACUUUGAAACGGAAGAACGAUCUUUUACCUCGAUAGUCUCGUGGAUUCGCCCCCGACACUCUGAGGAGCUGCACAAAGCUGAAAAUGAGAGUCAAUAUUAAGAGAGUUUAGAGGUGGAGACAGUUUCAGCAAACAUCUCCUUCCUGCGAGUAAUCCGAGCGCCGUCAAGUAUCAAACAAAAGCAAAGAUGCAUAGUGACUAAACCCUGUGAUCGCCUCCUAAACACUAGCCCGUAGAGACACAGUCUGGACCCUGAUCGGGAUUGACGAUGUUUGAUUUUAAUUAAAGCUGGGUUACAUCUGAGAGAGAUCUGCGGGGUGCCGCAGCUCAAGGAAGAACAUUUAUGAUCAUUUCUUCAUGGAAAUACAAUCAGACCGAGACGCUAAGACAGAAGAACUACUGCGUCUGUAAAAUGAUUAAUAUGAAGAUUAUUACUUCAAGGAAAUGAUAAAGAAAUGAUCGGCAGUCAAUGGACUGGCCUGAGGUCUCGCUACAAACAAGCGGCUGCUGGAAGAGAGUAGGUGAGUUGUGUUUAGUCUCUUUGCUAAAGAAAUGAGUCAAAGUUAAAAAGAUGUUUGGUGUCUAGUACUAUGUCUGUGACCCUAUAUGUCCUGUUGAUGAAGUUAGGUGCUGUUCUGAGCAUUAUUUGUGGCUAUAGAGUGGCGUUUUGGUUGAGGGCGUGGCUCUCUG
Xyrichtys novacula (pearly razorfish) is the source of this 15669-nucleotide non-coding RNA. The record is from the annotation of a GenBank genome assembly. Lineage: Eukaryota; Metazoa; Chordata; Actinopteri; Labriformes; Labridae.